UCUGGUAAUGAUGACACACUUGCCCUCACUGAGAAUACCAUUCUGUAAUGAGAACACCUAUGUACUCAACCUGAACCAGA
Molecule: small nucleolar RNA, 80 nt
Organism: Xenopus tropicalis (tropical clawed frog)
Lineage: Eukaryota; Metazoa; Chordata; Amphibia; Anura; Pipidae
Source: Ensembl